CGAGGGGAGUGAAAAAGAACCUGAAACCGUGUACGUACAAGCAGUGGGAGCACGCUUAGGCGUGUGACUGCGUACCUUUUGUAUAAUGGGUCAGCGACUUAUAUUCUGUAGCAAGGUUAACCGAAUAGGGGAGCCGAAGGGAAACCGAGUCUUAACUGGGCGUUAAGUUGCAGGGUAUAGACCCGAAACCCGGUGAUCUAGCCAUGGGCAGGUUGAAGGUUGGGUAACACUAACUGGAGGACCGAACCGACUAAUGUUGAAAAAUUAGCGGAUGACUUGUGGCUGGGGGUGAAAGGCCAAUCAAACCGGGAGAUAGCUGGUUCUCCCCGAAAGCUAUUUAGGUAGCGCCUCGUGAAUUCAUCUCCGGGGGUAGAGCACUGUUUCGGCAAGGGGGUCAUCCCGACUUACCAACCCGAUGCAAACUGCGAAUACCGGAGAAUGUUAUCACGGGAGACACACGGCGGGUGCUAACGUCCGUCGUGAAGAGGGAAACAACCCAGACCGCCAGCUAAGGUCCCAAAGUCAUGGUUAAGUGGGAAACGAUGUGGGAAGGCCCAGACAGCCAGGAUGUUGGCUUAGAAGCAGCCAUCAUUUAAAGAAAGCGUAAUAGCUCACUGGUCGAGUCGGCCUGCGCGGAAGAUGUAACGGGGCUAAACCAUGCACCGAAGCUGCGGCAGCGACGCUUAUGCGUUGUUGGGUAGGGGAGCGUUCUGUAAGCCUGUGAAGGUGUGCUGUGA
This 737-nucleotide ribosomal RNA is filed under the name Escherichia coli. RNAcentral's name for it is "partial 23S ribosomal RNA". It matches the Rfam family "Bacterial large subunit ribosomal RNA", at positions 530 to 1266 of the family's 2925-position model. Lineage: Bacteria; Pseudomonadati; Pseudomonadota; Gammaproteobacteria; Enterobacterales; Enterobacteriaceae. The record is from RNAcentral.